AGUCGAUCUUGUCAGCCGAAGUAACUCCUGCUGCCUCUGCGCGAGCGUCAUCCUCUCGCUUUAGAGCGUCCUCGCGUGCGUAACUGGAAACCCAUACGUUAGCCUGCGCGGAGCGCGGCUUGUAUACGUAUCCGUUCUCGUCUGGAACGUUGUAUGCCAUUUGUUGCACCUCCUUGAAAAGUUAUCUUGCUACGGAUAUCUUAACAAGGAAACGUCUUUAUGUCAAAUUAAGUGCAUAUGGAGGAAGUUAUGUAAAGGAAAUCUUGGCUACCGGUAUGCCAGGAAUGUCAAGGAUGGGCUUCACGGCUUCCAGGAUGAUAUUUGCAGCGAUGUUGUACCUAAGCACAAUAUCCCGAUGGGUAUUAAGGUCAUCUGGC
This 377-nucleotide unclassified non-coding RNA is filed under the name plant metagenome. RNAcentral's name for it is "partial contains 5.8S ribosomal RNA, internal transcribed spacer 2, and large subunit ribosomal RNA". The record is from RNAcentral.